CACAUGCUCAGCUGUCUCUCACUCUGUGACUCACUCUCUCUCUCUUUCUCACUCUCUCACGCCUUUGCCCUCCUCUAGCUCUCUCUCUCUCGCCUUUGUCUCCAUCGUCGUCGGGUACGGGAGCAUCACCGCCAUCGCACAGGAGCACCACCGUCAAUUGAUGGGUCUGCUCAACUAGAACAAGAAGAUGCUUAAACCUACUCAACGUUUGGUUACUCUUGCUAUUCUAAAUCAGACUUAUUCUUCCAAGCAGUCUUCUUCAAAUCCGUUUAUACCUUUCCUUAUAAAUGACCAUUCAAUUUUGAAACGGGAGAGACAAAGGGAAGCCUUCCCAAACUACAUUACUAGAUGUCAAAUAGCUGGUCCAAGGUCUAAGCCAACCCUGCUGUAGAAGAUUAGACAAAUCUCUAGCAAUGGUAGCUCGACCAGACACCCACACCUCACUUGAUUCAUCAUGGUCAUCUUCUUCAGGCAUAGAGUUUUCCCAACAUCGAGUCAUUACUGAAGGAAGAUUUAGGGAUGAUUUCACUUGGGAUUUUGUAUUCAUCUUUUAUGGUUUUUUCUUUGGUAGCUGCAUUGGUGGUUCGAUUUCUAGGGUCGAAAAAUGCUCUUAUUCUUGGGACUACUGAGUAUUGGUUGUUCAUAGCAGUGAAUUUGAUACCAACAUGAUGGUUUUGGACAUACAAACGUGAAUAUGAUUUUUUUUGACAAGUACGGAAGGGCAAACAAAUGUGGAUAUGGUUUUGGACAUACAAAUGUGGAUAUGAUGGUUUUGGACAUACAAACUAAUGAUUUGUAUUAUAUAUAGAAAUGAAAUGAAUGAAAUGAAUGGUUUUGGUUAGUCCUGUAUUAUGUAUGAAAUGAAAUUAUUGACGUUGGAUUAGACUUGGUUCCUAUGAAAUUUGUAUUAUAUAUAGAAUUGGAUGUUCAAUAUUAAUGUUUUGGAUGGUUUGAACUAAAA
Non-coding RNA from Camellia sinensis, 961 nucleotides. NCBI's taxonomy places the organism in Eukaryota, Viridiplantae, Streptophyta, Magnoliopsida, Ericales, Theaceae. The record is from RefSeq and is a predicted model, not a curated record.